Molecule: non-coding RNA, 104 nt
Organism: Otolemur garnettii (small-eared galago)
Lineage: Eukaryota; Metazoa; Chordata; Mammalia; Primates; Galagidae
Source: Rfam
GUUUGCUUCAGCAGCACAGACAUAAAAUUGGAACGAUACAGAGAAGAUUAGCACGGCCCCUGUGCAAGGAUGACAUGGAAAUUCGUGAAGCAUUCCAUAUUAAA